UUAAUUGAAGAGUUUGAUCAUGGCUCAGAUUGAACGCUGGCGGCAGGCCUAACACAUGCAAGUCGAGCGGUAGCACAGGAGAGCUUGCUCUCCGGGUGACGAGCGGCGGACGGGUGAGUAAUGUCUGGGAAACUGCCUGAUGGAGGGGGAUAACCACUGGAAACGGUGGCUAAUACCGCAUAACGUCGCAAGACCAAAGUGGGGGACCUUCGGGCCUCAUGCCAUCAGAUGUGCCCAGAUGGGAUUAGCUAGUAGGUGGGGUAACGGCUCACCUAGGCGACGAUCCCUAGCUGGUCUGAGAGGAUGACCAGCCACACUGGAACUGAGACACGGUCCAGACUCCUACGGGAGGCAGCAGUGGGGAAUAUUGCACAAUGGGCGCAAGCCUGAUGCAGCCAUGCCGCGUGUAUGAAGAAGGCCUUCGGGUUGUAAAGUACUUUCAGUGAGGAGGAAGGCGUGAUGCUUAAUACACAUC
RNAcentral lists this ribosomal RNA (475 nucleotides) under Franconibacter pulveris. Its description in RNAcentral is "bacterial SSU rRNA". It matches the Rfam family "Bacterial small subunit ribosomal RNA", at positions 1 to 470 of the family's 1533-position model. The record is from RNAcentral. Lineage: Bacteria; Pseudomonadati; Pseudomonadota; Gammaproteobacteria; Enterobacterales; Enterobacteriaceae.